Molecule: long non-coding RNA, 589 nt
Organism: Oncorhynchus keta (chum salmon)
Lineage: Eukaryota; Metazoa; Chordata; Actinopteri; Salmoniformes; Salmonidae
Exons: 6
Source: RefSeq, a predicted model, not a curated record
UUCCUCACUCUCCUCCAUUUUCUCAGACAAUUAGGGCGAAGGGCUGUUUCCGCCUCCCUGCUGCUGCCUCCGCCUCAUUGUUCUCAAUAGGCUGGUUUCAUUUAGUUAUUAUGCACACAGCAACAUGGGGGAAGGUGCCAAUUCCACAGUUAUGCACACAGCAACAUGGGGAAAGGUGCCAAUUCCACAGUUAUUAUGCACACAGCAACAUGGGGAAAGGUGCCAAUUCCACAGUUAUUAUGCACAUAGCAACAUGGGGAAAGGUGCCAAUUCCACAGUUAUUAUGCACAUAGCAACAUGGGGAAAGGUGCCAAUUCCACAGUUAUUAUGCACAUAGCAACAUGGGGAAAGGUGCCAAUUCCACAGUUAUGCACAUAGCAACAUGGGGAAAGGUGCCAAUUCCACAGUUAUGCACAUAGCAACAUGGGGAAAGGUGCCAAUUCCACAGUUAUGCACACAGCAACAUGGGGAAAGGUGCCAAUUCCACAGUUAUUAUGCACACAGCAACAUGGGGAAAGGUGCCAAUUCCACAGUUAUUAAGCUUUGCACACACUUGGCAUUCUCAUUCACUGGUAGUGUAUAACGUGAA